UGACGUGGACGCUAGCCUCGGAGAUUAAGCCAUGCAUGUCAGUGAAGAAGGGAACGGCGAACGGCUCAGCAAUGCUGCGAUGAUCUGUCCCGCGCGGGCAAUAACCACGGAAACCUGUGGCUAAUGCGCGGGCUGAGACGCAGUCCUAUCAGCUGGUUGGGAGUGUAACGGACUCCCAAGGCGACGACGGGUGACGGGAGAUGGGGGUCUGAUUCCGGAGAGGGAGCCUGAGAGAUGGCUCCCACGCCCAAGGACGGCAGCAGGCGCGGAAACUGCCCACUCUUCGGGGGAGGCGGUUACGAGGCGUGCGGAAGGGCGCAGUGCAAAGGGCUGCGUGAAGGCGAUUGGAGGGCAAGUUCGGUGCCAGCAGCCGCGGUAAUACCGGCUCCAAGGGUGUCCACGGUGGAUGCUGCAGUUAAAGGGUCCGUAGUCGGGGCUGCGGAGAAAGGGUGUUGCUCAGCGACACACGUUCUGCAGGAGCUUGCGGAGCGGACGGAGGGCGCGGUAUAGACGGGCGAGGGAUGAAAUGGCCAAGACCCUGUCUGGACCGGCGGCGGCGUCGGCGGCGCUCUCGGACGCAUCUGGGGAUCAAGGACGAAGGCUGGAGGAUCGAAGGUGAUUAGAGACCGUUGUAGUUCCG
RNAcentral lists this ribosomal RNA (640 nucleotides) under uncultured Microsporidium. Its description in RNAcentral is "bacterial SSU rRNA". It matches the Rfam family "Microsporidia small subunit ribosomal RNA", at positions 19 to 681 of the family's 1311-position model. Lineage: Eukaryota; Fungi; Microsporidia. The record is from RNAcentral.